This 380-nucleotide ribosomal RNA is filed under the name uncultured bacterium. RNAcentral's name for it is "bacterial SSU rRNA". It matches the Rfam family "Bacterial small subunit ribosomal RNA", at positions 30 to 417 of the family's 1533-position model. The record is from RNAcentral.
AUUGAACGCUGGCGGCAUGCUUUACACAUGCAAGUCGAACGGGCUGGGGGCAACUCCAGUCAGUGGCGAACGGGUGAGUAAUACAUCGGAACGUACCUCGUAGUGGGGGAUAACUCGGCGAAAGCCGUGCUAAUACCGCAUAUGCUCUACGGAGGAAAGCAGGGGACCGCAAGGCCUUGUACUAUGGGAGCGGCUGAUGUCCGAUUAGCUAGUUGGUGAGGUAAGGCUCACCAAGGCGACGAUCGGUAGCUGGUCUGAGAGGAUGAUCAGCCACACUGGGACUGAGACACGGCCCAGACUCCUACGGGAGGCAGCAGUGGGGAAUUUUGGACAAUGGGGGCAACCCUGAUCCAGCCAUGCCGCGUGCGGGAAGAAGGCCU